Molecule: long non-coding RNA, 421 nt
Organism: Microtus oregoni (creeping vole)
Lineage: Eukaryota; Metazoa; Chordata; Mammalia; Rodentia; Cricetidae
Exons: 3
Source: RefSeq, a predicted model, not a curated record
UGAGUUUAGGAGACUUUGUCUUUGUGUUUAUUUAAUGCAGUACAAAACUUCCCGCUGGAGGUUCCCGUAACUCCUCUGCCCUGUGGGCCCGCCAGAAAGAGCUCACUGAGUGCAACAAUUGUUUCAUAUCUUUGGGUCUAACCACUGGAGCAUGGGCAAUCUGCAGCAACGGUACUCUGGAAGAAAAAUAACUCUUCUCCCAGCAGCCGACAAUUGUCAACAGCUCCUAAGUUUGGGGUGGAAUCUUCUGAGUCCCCCUCCCAGCCAUGCUGUAAUGUUGAGUGGAUUGAUCGUGUUCAGGCCGAUCUGUUCCAGGUGCCAGAGUGAAGUCAUGUUGGAAAUGAACUGUGUGAGCAGUGCUGAUGAUUGGUCUGUCCUGCCUUGUUCUACUUCAGCUAAACUAUCAUUUACUCAAUGCUAA